This 97-nucleotide signal recognition particle RNA is filed under the name Enhydrobacter sp. Its description in RNAcentral is "signal recognition particle sRNA small type". It matches the Rfam family "Bacterial small signal recognition particle RNA". From Rfam's summary of the family: The signal recognition particle (SRP) is a universally conserved ribonucleoprotein involved in the co-translational targeting of proteins to membranes. Archaeal SRP consists of a 7S RNA and homologues of the eukaryotic SRP19 and SRP54 proteins. The record is from RNAcentral. RNAcentral also lists the same sequence under 5 other names. Lineage: Bacteria; Pseudomonadati; Pseudomonadota; Alphaproteobacteria; Hyphomicrobiales.
CGAGGGGCCGGUGUGGGCGGAGCAGUCGCCAACCCGGUCAGAUCCGGAAGGAAGCAGCCGUAACGAAUUCGCUUCGGGUCAUGCCGGUCUCUCACCU